Molecule: ribosomal RNA, 429 nt
Filed under: Gemmatimonadota bacterium
Lineage: Bacteria; Pseudomonadati; Gemmatimonadota
Description: Gemmatimonadetes bacterium partial 16S ribosomal RNA
Rfam family: Bacterial small subunit ribosomal RNA
Source: RNAcentral
UAGGGAAUCUUCGGCAAUGGACGAAAGUCUGACCGAGCAACGCCGCGUGAGUGAAGAAGGUCUUCGGAUCGUAAAACUCUGUUGUUAGAGAAGAACAAGGACGGUAGUAAGUGAACGUCCCCUGACGGUAUCUAACCAGAAAGCCACGGCUAACUACGUGCCAGCAGCCGCGGUAAUACGUAGGUGGCAAGCGUUGUCCGGAUUUAUUGGGCGUAAAGCGGGCGCAGGUGGUUUCUUAAGUCUGAUGUGAAAGCCCCCGGCUCAACCGGGGAGGGUCGUUGGAAACUGGGAGACUUGAGUGCAGAAGAGGGGAGUGGAAUUCCAUGUGUAGCGGUGAAAUGCGUAGAUAUAUGGAGGAACACCAGUGGCGAAGGCGGCUCUCUGGUCUGUAACUGACGCUGAGGCUCGAAAGCGUGGGGAGCAAACAGG